This is a non-coding RNA of Lolium perenne, 3027 nucleotides long. NCBI's taxonomy places the organism in Eukaryota, Viridiplantae, Streptophyta, Magnoliopsida, Poales, Poaceae. The record is from RefSeq and is a predicted model, not a curated record.
UCUUCCGAAGUAUCCAUCUGCGGUUCCUGGCCCUUGCCGGCCACACCCAACCUCGUUCCCGCCGGCGCAGCUCCGUCUCCUCACCCUCGGGUCUCGGCUCAUUUCCUUGCUACCGCUGCAUCACCUGCCCUCCAAUCGCAGAUUUCACCUAAACCUGGCAACGGGACUGCCGACCGGCUUGGAGGACGACGGGCCCCGGUCUCGCGCGGUUCCGGUUCGCCUUCGGCUGGGCCAUGCCGUCGAUUUACCGGCCAUGGGAACCGCUGCUCGUCCACAUCAUAAGGGGCCGCUGCUGGCCAUCCCCGACAGGAGCCGCGUGCAAGGUCGCCGCUGCUCGCGAGCUCUGACGCGCCGCCGGCGUCUUCGCCGGGUCGCCCGAUGGUAUGUAGGCCCUGUAUGCGGCCGUGAGCACUGCAUAUGAAAGCUGGGCGGGGCACAUCCUCGACCCGGAGAAGCUUGCCCCAAUCCCCAGCUCUGACGCCUUUGCGGAGUCUUCGCCGGCGUCUUUUCAGGGCCGUCCGAGCGGCACUUCCACGCUCCGCAUCUGAAGCUGGACAUCCACAUCGUUCGCCCCCAAACCCCACCGCAGACGACGUUGUUCAGCACGACUUCAUCGACAUCAAGGCCAAAAUUUGACCGCCGUUCCCCUUUGCCGGCGUCUUCACGAGGUCGCCGGAAGGCAGGAAGGCCAUCGAUGCGGCCGGAGAGGGGCCCAACCACAGCCGCCGUUCAGCAUGGUCAAAAUUUCCCCUUUGUGGAGUCUUCGCCGGUGUCUUUUCAGGGCCGUCUAUUUGCUUGCUGGUGUUUGAUUCUGAUUAUAGGAUAGUAGUAGAUGAUAAUGGAACUAUUACUACAUUUGACAUGCUUCUUUGCCAUCUGCUAAUUGUAGGACUGCCUGCUGAAAGUCAUCUCAUAUUUAUUUGCUCUGCUCUAGACUAUGGUGGGUAGGAGGUCUCACUGUUUUCCUUUUGGUGUUUGUAUGAGGUCAAGGCCUAGGUAGCUUAGGAUGGUGGUACAACCCUGAGGCGGCGAUGACAGCGGGGAUGGACAGCGGCGGGGAUCAGAGUUCAGGAAUGACUACCUCCAUCCAGUCGGACGACGCCGGGGACAAGAACGGCUACUACAACCCAUUUUCAUGGCGUCGAAAUGCAUUUGAAGGACAUGAUCAGCCCACAAGUGGGGUAUUGGAGGCGGUGUCGUUUCUGUGCUGGCCAUACCUGCGAUUCUCUCCCACUAGGUGAUAGCUUAUGAACCGUGGCCAGCAUAAGGGGCUCGAUCCGGAGGGAGGCACGAAGGAUGGCCUAGUUGUCCGCCUGCCCCAGCUACUUCUGCUAGCAGUCCGGCCGGAGCUGCUGUUGGGCGACCACCCAUUUGAUCUUCUGGUCCUUCAAGCUACCUACUCAUACCGCUGGCCACCACUCGGAUUUGCUGCUGCAAGUCAGUGGGGGUUGAGGUCAGUCAAGUGAGCUUCUAAGCGUGCACGAGUGUAGUCGCCUGGCAAGAUGUUUGAUUUCAUCCAUCUCUACAAUGGGCAUCGAAAGGUACCUCCUUGGGCGCGGUUGAAUUCAUUUCUUCAUGGCUUUUUUGUCAGGUUGCCGAUGGGGAUCUUGCACCAUAUGUCUGAUGAGAAUUCCACAGCAGUGGUUGCGGUGCUCUGCUGAUCCAGCAAACAGUCUAGCCGGGCCAUCGGUCGAGCUGCUCACAUACAAAUUGCCUCUCGGGGCUCAUUUGGACAAUAAUGAUUAUGGUAUUUCAAGGAUACUUGUAAGGAUGAUGGAUGCUUUGAAAAUAGUGGAUCUAAAAAGGAGAUGAUUCAGAUACUUCAUUGAGAUGUGUCUCCCCUUAGGUCCAUGAUGUAUUUGUCCAUGGCCUUCAUGGUGGCCCAUUCAACUCAUGGUGAAUAGCUGAUGAAAAGUCAUCAACUACCAAAGGUGGUCUGGUGGAAACCAUCGACAAAGAUGCUAAGUCACUUGUUGGCCAAGAGAAUGGCUUGGCUUUCAUCAGAUUUUCCUCGAGCUCCUUUCUUGAUGGUCAAAUACAAGACAACUUUGACACAGUGUUUUGGAGCCAUCUUACCCCUUUAGGAGGUGAGUUAUAUGCUGUUGAGGAAGAUGGUUGCUACUCCAAUCGGUAGGCGGCAUAUUGUAUUUGUGACUCAUAGCAUCGGAUGACUGGUGCAUCAAGCGUAGCUGAAAUAUUAUGAAAAGUUCCUGAACAAUAUAAUUGGACUAGUAUGGGUUAUGUGCUUCGUCAAACUCCUGCAUUUUGUUAGGAAAUGUUCUCAUAGACUUACACUGCAUGCUUUCACUGCCACAACACCAAGUUAUUUGUGCAAAUUUGAUCUAUAGAAAAGUUACAUGCGCUAAUUGGCUUCUUAGCAGAGCGAUGUCACACCAAUUGUUGAAGCUUAUGGUGGUUCCUCAUUUCGAGUGGAGGAUAGUGCCAAUUGAGUCUAAAUUCCCAGGAUAUGGGGAGCUCGUUUGUCUGAUGGGUCUGAAGAAGACCUCUCAACCUCGCCGCCGCUGUCCUGCUGCCCAUAUGUGGAUGACCAAGACUUACCGGCGAGUACGGCGUGGAGAUAUGACAUAUACAACGACAAAUAAGUUUUGGAGCUUUGCCCUGAACACCUGAGAAGCAGUGAAGAGGCUGCAUGUUGAUGGUUGUGUGAUCUAGUCGUGCAAGGACUUAUGUUGAACCUGGUUGGUUGUGCAACAUGUGCUUGUGUUGACGUAUGUAGUGACUAGUGAGCAUUCAGCUACAAUACUUUGAGCUGAGGCUUGUUUUCUUAUGUUUUGAAUGGUAACUAGUGAGUUGAAAGAGAUAUGUAAUAUUAGCGUCGUGACAGUUGGCUUGUGAAUAUUCUUGUGGCGCUUGAAAUUUGAGACUGAUUUUUUUAAGCUGGUUAUCUUGUUUCAACCAGUUAGUUGAGAAUUUGAGACUCAAAUCUUGUUCCAGUUUUAGUCAUGUAUCUAUGUUGUGAACUAAAUGAUCUGGGGCAAAUAAUAAUAUUCGAAACCUUUUGCUACA